This 259-nucleotide unclassified non-coding RNA is filed under the name Glomus sp. RNAcentral describes it as "partial contains 5.8S ribosomal RNA and internal transcribed spacer 2". The stretch from base 1 to 65 matches the Rfam family "5.8S ribosomal RNA", at positions 84 to 154 of the family's 154-position model. The record is from RNAcentral. Lineage: Eukaryota; Fungi; Glomeromycota; Glomeromycetes; Glomerales; Glomeraceae.
GUGAAUCAUCAAAUUUUUGAACGCAAAUUGCACUCUCUUCGGAGAGUAUGACUGUUUGAGGGUGAGCCUAAAAAAAAUUGACGUAGUCGCUGUUUCGUGGUGAUAUUGGUCGGAAAUUGGGUCAUCUUAAACUUUUGGGUUUUUUAAGGGGCUUAAAAUUUUCUUGAUUAUUUCAGGAACGAUUUUAAGAUUUUUAUUUUUAUUUACGUUUAAGGUUUCGAUGUUUAUUAGACUUGGUUGUUGCAUCGGAUCGCGUUUA